CCUACGGGUGGCAGCAGUCGAGAAUCAUUCACAAUGGGGGAAACCCUGAUGGUGCGACGCCGCGUGGGGGAAUGAAGGUCUUCGGAUUGUAAACCCCUGUCAUGUGGGAGCAAAUUAAAAAGAUAGUACCACAAGAGGAAGAGACGGCUAACUCUGUGCCAGCAGCCGCGGGAAUACAGAGGUAUCAAGCGGUGUUCGGAAUCACUUGGCGUAAAGCGUGCGUAGGCUGUUUCGUAAGGCGUGUGUGAAAGGCGCGGGCUCAACCCGCGGACGGCACAUGAUACUGCGAGACUAGAGUAAUGGAGGGGGAACCGGAAUUCGCGGUGUAGCAGUGAAAUGCGUAGAUAUCGAGAGGAACACUCGUGGCGAAGGCGGGUUCCUGGACAUUAACUGACGCUGAGGCACGAAGGCCAGGGGAGCGAAAGGGAUUAGAUACCCGAGUAGUC
Molecule: ribosomal RNA, 446 nt
Filed under: uncultured bacterium
Lineage: Bacteria
Description: partial 16S ribosomal RNA
Rfam family: Bacterial small subunit ribosomal RNA
Source: RNAcentral